AAAUUUUUGAGUUCAUUGAAUGCUACCUGACAGUCUUCUCCCCAUUUGAAGCUCUUUCUUGCUUUGAGUGCUUUGUAGAAUGGUAGACAUUUCGUUGCUGAGCACGAUAUAAAACGCCUAAGACUGGUGAUUCUUCAAUUCAAUCUUUGAAUUUUUUUGAUACUUCUCGGUGGCUUCAUCUCCAUAAUGGCUUUGAUUUUUUCAGGGUUGGUCUCUAUUCCUUUUUUUGAGAUUAAAAAUUCCAAGAAUUUUUCUGCUUUGACUCCGAACGUGCAUUUUUUGGGUUCGGCUUCAUUCCGACUUUA
Molecule: unclassified non-coding RNA, 305 nt
Filed under: Hevea brasiliensis (rubber tree)
Lineage: Eukaryota; Viridiplantae; Streptophyta; Magnoliopsida; Malpighiales; Euphorbiaceae
Source: RNAcentral